CGCGCAGGCGGGUUGGCAAGUCAGAGGUGAAAUCCUACAGCUUAACUGUAGAACUGCCUUUGAGACUGCUAAUCUUGAGUACGGAAGAGAGAGAUGGAAUUCCAGGUGUAGUGGUGAGAUACGUAGAUAUCUGGAAGAACACCAGUGGCGAAGGCGAUCUCUUGGUCCUUUACUGACGCUAAGGCGCGAAAGCGUGGGGAGCAAACA
Molecule: ribosomal RNA, 207 nt
Filed under: uncultured bacterium
Lineage: Bacteria
Description: partial 16S ribosomal RNA
Rfam family: Bacterial small subunit ribosomal RNA
Source: RNAcentral